UCAAUAAGCGGAGGAAAAGAAACCAACCGGGAUUGCCCUAGUAACGGCGAGUGAAGCGGCAAGAGCUCAAAUUUGAAAGCUGGCCCCCUCGGGGUCCGCAUUGUAAUUUGCAGAGGAUGCUUCGGGAGCGGUCCCCAUCUAAGUGCCCUGGAACGGGCCGUCAUAGAGGGUGAGAAUCCCGUAUGGGAUGGGGUGCCCGCGCCCGUGUGAAGCUCCUUCGACGAGUCGAGUUGUUUGGGAAUGCAGCUCUAAUUGGGUGGUAAAUUUCAUCUAAAGCUAAAUAUUGGCCGGAGACCGAUAGCGCACAAGUAGAGUGAUCGAAAGAUGAAAAGCACUUUGAAAAGAGAGUUAAACAGCACGUGAAAUUGUUGAAAGGGAAGCGCUUGCGAUCAGACUCGCUCGCGGGGUUCAGCCGGCCUUCGGGCCGGUGUACUUCCCCGCGGGCGGGCCAGCGUCGGUUUGGGCGGCCGGUCAAAGGCCCCUGGAAUGUAACGCCUCUCGGGGCGUCUUAUAGCCAGGGGUGCCAUGCGGCCUGCCCGGACCGAGGAACGCGCUUCGGCUCGGACGCUGGCAUAAUGGUCGUAAGCGACCCGUCUUGAAACACGGACCAAGGAGUCUAACAUCUACGCGAGUGUUCGGGUGUCAAACCCGUGCGCGCAGUGAAAGCGAACGGAGGUGGGAACCCCUCGGGGUGCACCAUCGACCGAUCCUGAUGUCUUCGGAUGGAUUUGAGUAAGAGCGUAGCUGUUGGGACCCGAAAGAUGGUGAACUAUGCCUGAAUAGGGCGAAGCCAGAGGAAACUCUGGUGGAGGCUCGCAGCGGUUCUGACGUGCAAAUCGAUCGUCAAAUUUGGGUAUAGGGGCGAAAGACUAAUCGAACCAUCUAGUAGCUGGUUCCUGC
This 900-nucleotide ribosomal RNA is filed under the name Penicillium chrzaszczii. RNAcentral's name for it is "LSU rRNA". It matches the Rfam family "Eukaryotic large subunit ribosomal RNA", at positions 43 to 961 of the family's 3401-position model. The record is from RNAcentral. Lineage: Eukaryota; Fungi; Ascomycota; Eurotiomycetes; Eurotiales; Aspergillaceae.